Long non-coding RNA from Ursus maritimus (polar bear), 1802 nucleotides. The record is from Ensembl. NCBI's taxonomy places the organism in Eukaryota, Metazoa, Chordata, Mammalia, Carnivora, Ursidae.
UUCCCCCACUUUGGUUCAGUACAUUGAAUCUCCUGAUGUGGAAAAGGAAGUGAAAAGACUCCUGUGUUCAGAUGCUGAAGCUGUCAGUGCUCGUAUCCUUUUAUACUAAAUAUUUUCUGUGUGAUCUGUUCCACCCCAUAUGUACUUGCUGACAAGCCCUCACUUCUGGUAUUUGUGUGCAAAUUUUGAUGUAUAGAGCUUAAGGUUUUUGGAAAUGUUACUUUCUAGCUAGGAACAGUAAAUUCACAUCAUAGAAAUGUAUUUACUUGUGUACCUCAAUAUAAGGUACUUCUUCAUACUAGGAAUUCAGAUACAAACAGCCUGAAGUUGGACUAAAUUAAGUAGCAUUUUCGGCCAGAGAGCCUCUUCCCUUUCAACUGUGCCUUCUCCUUUCUUUCUGCUUGUUCCUUAACUGACCCACCUUUCAGGAUGGGAAGUCAUUGCUGAAGAUGAAACCAAGGAAAUAGAGAGUCAGGGCUCUAUCCCAGGCUUUGCAAUAUCCCCAGGAAUGAGUGACUAUAAGCAGGAUCAUAUCUCAUCAGAAUACAGUAUGCUCCGGGAGGUGUUCAGUGAUUCUAGCAGUAACAGUGAUGAUGAGGAUGAGGAUGAGGAUGAGGAUGAGGAUGAGGAUGAGGAUGAUGAGGAUGAGGACGAGGACGAGGACGAGGAGGAGGACGAGGACGAGGAGGAUGAAGAGGAUGACUAUGAUGAUGAGUACGAAGUUGUGGAAGAGGAGGAAGAUGAUUAUGAAGAGAACCUGGAAAGGGAGCUACAGGCCAGGUUCUCGGCGUCUGGCCAGUAUGAGGCAAAGGAAGGAGCCAGUUCAAUAGGUAAGUUAUAGAGGAAAAACCAAGGGGGCGGGACAGAGUGGGUGGCAGUGCUGAAGACUGACUCUAAACACACAUUAUUUUUUUUUUAUAAUGAUUUUUUAUUAUAUUAUGUUAGUCACCAUACAGUACAUCCCCGGUUUUCGAUGUAAGGCUCGAUGAUUCAUUAGUUGUAUAUAUAAACACACAUUAGAUGCAAUGCUAAGUUUGAGAAGUUAUUGCUGAGAUGUGUAGUGGAGGCUUAGUUGAUUGUGAUCUCGAUCCGCUAUGUUUAAUCAAAUCUCUGUCUAUCUCUGUUAGUCAUGGAUAUUCAGAAGCAAAUUCAUUACAUGGAGAAAAAGCUCCAAGAGAUUCGAUGCAAAGCACAAAGACAGAGGGAUCUCAUAAUGAAAGUGGAAAACCUGACGCUCAAGGUAAAUUCUUGUCAGCUGCGAUAAAGGUAUCUUGAAAUCUCACUUUCAGAAUCCCGUCUUUGUGUUUCGACUCAUGUUGUCUCUGUGCAGCAUUCUUACUCGUUUGCACACCAUAACAACCUCUUAGAAACCCCUCAUAAAACAUAGCCCCAGUCCUUUUACCUGAGUAAUUUUGAUCAUCUCACACAAGCAGUUUUGGGAAGAGACCAGGAGACCUGAGCUAUAAUCACCAAUAUUGAACAUUUGUUAUGUGCAAGGCACAUAAAGAGCUAACCAUUUUCCACAUAUCAUCUCAUUUCAUCCUCACAUUCCUGAAAUACAGGUACUGUCACUAGUCCUAUUUUAUAGAUAAGGAAUUGAAAAUUCAGAGAGGUUAAGUGAGUUACCAAGGACCACAGUAAGUGGACAGACAUGGAUUGAAUCCUGUUGUUUGUACCAAAAUGUAUUCAUUGCAGUGAAAGAAAAUUAACUAAAUUCAUUUUUAAAUGUUAUGAUGCCUGCCUGAACAAGAGUAAAUAUCUUGCUUUAUUUUUGUUAAUACACAUUUCAACCAAAGGAAAAU